This 510-nucleotide long non-coding RNA is filed under the name Zonotrichia albicollis (white-throated sparrow). Its description in RNAcentral is "lncRNA (ENSZALG00000006237.1)". The record is from RNAcentral. Lineage: Eukaryota; Metazoa; Chordata; Aves; Passeriformes; Passerellidae.
AUUUUUUGUGGAAUUUUUUGGGGAUAUUUUUGGGAUAUUUCAGGGAAUUUUUUGGGAUUUUUUUGCGGAAUUUUUGGGGGGAUUUUCUGUGGAUGUUUUUGUAUUUUUUGUGAUUUUUUGGGAAUUUUUUUUAAUUUUUGGGGAACCUUUGGGGACUUUUUGGGGAAUUUUUGGGGAUUUUUUGGGGAAUUUUUGGGGAAUUUUGGGGAUUUUUUGGGGAAUUUUUGGGGAAUUUUGGGGGGAUUUUUUUGGGAAUUUUUUGGGAAAUUUUGGAAACAUUUUUGGGUAUUUUUGGGGGAAUUUUUGGGGGAAUUUUUUGGGAAUUUUUUUGGGUUUAACUGGGCCAAGGCGCCCUCUUGUGGACAUCGAGGGAGUUGCAGAAAACAGCCCCGAAAAUUCCCAAAAUUUGGGAAUUUAUUGGGGAAAAAUUGGGGGAAAAUCAGGAAAUUUUAUGAGAAUUUUUUGGGAUUUUUAGGGAAUUAUUUGGGUAUUUUUUUGGGAUUUUUAUGA